Transfer RNA from Aeromicrobium sp. Root472D3, 82 nucleotides. It matches the Rfam family "tRNA". From Rfam's summary of the family: Transfer RNA (tRNA) molecules are approximately 80 nucleotides in length. The record is from Rfam. Lineage: Bacteria; Bacillati; Actinomycetota; Actinomycetes; Propionibacteriales; Nocardioidaceae.
GCCGAUGUGGUGGAACUGGUAGACACGCAGGGUUUAGGUCUCUGUGCUUUCGAGCGUGCAGGUUCAAGUCCUGUCAUCGGCA